RNAcentral lists this ribosomal RNA (253 nucleotides) under uncultured bacterium. RNAcentral describes it as "partial 16S ribosomal RNA". It matches the Rfam family "Bacterial small subunit ribosomal RNA", at positions 524 to 776 of the family's 1533-position model. The record is from RNAcentral.
GACGGACGAUCCAAGCGUUAUCCGGAAUUAUUGGGCGUAAAGGGUGCGUAGGCGGUCAGACAAGUCCCAUGUCAAAGCAUGGUGCUUAACGCCAUAAAGGCGUGGGAAACUGUGUGACUAGAGUACAGCAGGGGCAGGAGGAAUUCCCGGUGUAGCGGUGAAAUGCGUAGAUAUCGGGAAGAACACCAGUGGCGCAAGCGUUCUGCUGGGCUGUAACUGACACUGAGGCACGAAAGCUAGGGGAGCGAAAGGG